UAAAAACUAUUUAAUUAAUGUAAAGAGAAAAUUAACCUCAUAAAUUAUAAAUUGAUAAACUCAUAUUCUACUUUAUACAAGAAAAAAGAUAAUAUGGUUAAAAUUGUCAAAUUUGUUUAUGUUUUAAUUAUCUUUGUUUUUCUAUUUUUCAUCGCAAUAAACGUUGACGGUAAGCUAUUUUUUUAAUCAUUUCUAAAUUUUAUAAUUGACUUCUUACAUGAUUUUUUUCAUAGUAACAAUAUUUUAUUCUCUUUUUUAUUAUAUAGGUAUUAGAUGUAUUCAAGAUUGUGAUUGUCCACAUAAUUUUUGCCCUCCUCCUUAUACACCCAAGUGUAUUAUCGGCCGAUGUAAUUGUGUUCAAAAAAUAUAACACAUUGAUGUAAUUAAAUUUCAUUUAAUAAUUAUUCUUAUUUCAAGAAAUGAUUUUUGCUAUUCCAUAAAGUAUAACAUAAUGUUUAAUUCAUAUAAGUAAAUUAUGAGAUUUUUAAAUAAUAGGUCAUCAGUUCCUAC
Molecule: long non-coding RNA, 510 nt
Filed under: Lathyrus oleraceus (garden pea)
Lineage: Eukaryota; Viridiplantae; Streptophyta; Magnoliopsida; Fabales; Fabaceae
Description: Pisum sativum (pea) long non-coding RNA (PSAT_LNC033440)
Source: RNAcentral